AAACAUGUCUUUUUGAUUAUAAUUUAAAGUCUGACCUGCCCUAUGAAUAAGUUAUUUUUAAAUGGCUGCGGUACUCUGACCGUGCAAAGGUAGCAUAGUAAUUAGUUUUUUAAUUGGGAACUGGUAUGAAAGGUCGAACGAGAAAAAGACUGUCUCAAUUUAAUUUGAAUUAGAAUUUUAUUUUUAAGUAAAAAAGCUUAAAUAUUUUUAAAAGACGAGAAGACCCUAUAGAGUUUUAUAUAAUUUAGUAUUUUUGAAAGUUAAAGAAUUUUAGAUUUAAUUUUAUUAAAUUAUAUUUGGUUGGGGCAAUUAAAAAAUUAAAGUAAUUUUUUUUAAAUUAUAACAUUGAUAUAUGAUUAAGUGAUCCAUAAUUUAUGAUUAAAAGAUUAAAUUACCUUAGGGAUAACAGCGUAANUUUUUUUUAGAGUUCUUAUCGAAAAAAGAGUUUGCGACCUCGAUGUUGGAUUAAAAUUUACUUUUGGCGCAGCAACUAAAAGGAUUAGGUCUGUUCGACCUUUAAAAUUUUACAUGA
RNAcentral lists this ribosomal RNA (532 nucleotides) under Coprophanaeus machadoi. RNAcentral's name for it is "partial large subunit ribosomal RNA". It matches the Rfam family "Bacterial large subunit ribosomal RNA", at positions 1811 to 2603 of the family's 2925-position model. Lineage: Eukaryota; Metazoa; Arthropoda; Insecta; Coleoptera; Scarabaeidae. The record is from RNAcentral.